GGAGGAGUGUCUGAGUGGUUAAAGUGGUUGUUUGCUAAACAAUAAUAUUAUAUUUUAUAAUAUCGGAGGUUCAAGUCCUUCCUCCUCUA
This is a non-coding RNA of PVC group bacterium, 89 nucleotides long. NCBI's taxonomy places the organism in Bacteria, Pseudomonadati. The record is from Rfam.